CCUACGGGCGGCUGCAGUGGGGAAUUUUGGACAAUGGGGGCAACCCUGAUCCAGCCAUGCCGCGUGAGUGAAGAAGGCCUUCGGGUUGUAAAGCUCUUUCAGCCGGGAAGAAAAUGCAUGGGUUAAUACCCUGUGCAGAUGACGGUACCGGAAUAAGAAGCACCGGCUAACUACGUGCCAGCAGCCGCGGUAAUACGUAGGGUGCGAGCGUUAAUCGGAAUUACUGGGCGUAAAGCGUGCGCAGGCGGUUUUGUAAGACAGGCGUGAAAUCCCCGGGCUUAACCUGGGAACUGCGUUUGUGACUGCAAGGCUAGAGUACGGCAGAGGGGGGUGGAAUUCCACGUGUAGCAGUGAAAUGCGUAGAGAUGUGGAGGAACACCAAUGGCGAAGGCAGCCCCCUGGGUCGAUACUGACGCUCAUGCACGAAAGCGUGGGUAGCAAACAGGAUUAGAUACCCCAGUAGUC
This 465-nucleotide ribosomal RNA is filed under the name uncultured Rhodocyclaceae bacterium. Its description in RNAcentral is "bacterial SSU rRNA". It matches the Rfam family "Bacterial small subunit ribosomal RNA", at positions 338 to 795 of the family's 1533-position model. The record is from RNAcentral. Lineage: Bacteria; Pseudomonadati; Pseudomonadota; Betaproteobacteria; Rhodocyclales; Rhodocyclaceae.